ACUUUGGACCAUGAUCACAAAGUGCUGAAGGAAAGUGAAAACAACCACCAGACAAGAAUCAGCAAAGCUCUUCUGCAAAGACAAAGGUGACCAACAAAAAUGCUGUGCAUAUUGGGAAGUGCAAGGCCCAGGAACUAGCUGUGAAAUCAGCACCAACAGCUGGAGUGCCCUCACAUUAGUGAGAUGGCAACUUUGUGGCCACCUGACUGAAAGAAGAAGGUGAAAACACAAGGAUUACAAAGAAGAACAAGGAAGCUUAUGGAGGAUGUGCAAGUUCAUUGUCUUGGAUGACUCAGUGUUACUCAAGGAUAUAUCAGAAGACUUGGAGCUAGAAGCCUCAAAUGAGAGAGAACACAAAGAUCACACUGAGUGAGGUAACCUAGACCCAGAAAGGUGUCUCUUCUAAUAGAUUCCACAUCCAGCAGUGCUGACACUGAAGAUUAACCACCACAGCUAACAGCCUGUUACGCCCAGGUCAUGGUCAUCCUCUCAUCAGAGUUAUCCAGUCCAAAUUGCCAGUGGAGCUAAGGUUAAGAAACAUUGUUCUGUCUAGAUAAACGUGUGUGCUGGAGGAACUGGAGGUGGUAAAAUUUCAUUACAUUCUACAAUUUGCCAUCAAAACAUUUGGGAACAUUAGGUGCCUUUAGUUUUAUUUAGACCCCAAAGUCAAUUACUUAAUUAAAUCAAG
Mus musculus (house mouse) is the source of this 688-nucleotide long non-coding RNA. RefSeq annotates it as predicted gene, 35356. The record is from RefSeq and is a predicted model, not a curated record. Lineage: Eukaryota; Metazoa; Chordata; Mammalia; Rodentia; Muridae. The transcript is spliced from 4 exons.